This 3307-nucleotide unclassified non-coding RNA is filed under the name Dimorphilus gyrociliatus. RNAcentral's name for it is "eF-hand domain-containing protein". The record is from RNAcentral. Lineage: Eukaryota; Metazoa; Annelida; Polychaeta; Dinophilidae.
GUUUUGAAACCGGGUGAUUUUAAUUUUGCUAUUUAACUUAUUUGUUGUUAUUAACGUUUUAUAUUUAUUUUUUGCAUCUAAUCAUCAUUUAUUAUUAUUUUUUUUUUUUUUGGGUUUCUCUCUUUCUCUCUUCUUAUCUAUCGGUUUUGUUCUUUUAGUUUUUCUUUGCACGAUUCGCGAAAAUAUUAAAAACUAAAAACAAAAAAAAAAUUAAAAAGAAAGUGGCAAUGGGAGUUUUAAAAAGAUAGAAUAUACUCUUUUUUUAGUAUAUACAGUUUAAUCUGUCUUUUAUACUGUAUAAUAGGAAAAAUAUGAGCGACUAUUCUGUUUCAAAGAAAUAGUUUAUUCUAUACGCAAAUAAACUUAAAGAUUCUAAUUAAAAAUAACUUGAUAUCAAAACUACAAUCAAAACAAACAUAACAUAGUUUAUUUUAUGAUAACUGUUGCUACCAUACACUUUAUAUACUCUGGAGAAGCUAUAGUCAUAUUGAUAAAGUGAAAGAUUAUCUAUCAAUGAAAUGAAAUGUCUAUAAUUCUUAUUAUAUAUAUAUAUUUAUAUUAAUCUCGUUUUUCUUUUCCUCUUUUAACUCUUUAUUCUUACUAUCCGCUUUAUAAGUUGGUAAAUUUUAUUAAUUGAUUUACUGUAUUGAUUGAAAGGAGAAUAUCGAUGAAUUGGCAUAGUUUAUAACUUAUUUAAACUACUUAUGAUCAAAUUUUCAUCGAUAUACGCUAAAUUCUAUCAAAUUAAUACCAAACUGAGGUUAUUAGGUUCUUAUUUUUAUAAUGUUCGAAAAACAUCCGUAACAAUUGCUCCAAAUGCGAAUUGGUGUUUUUUUUUUGUCUUCGAACGUACCAAACUUAUACGACUAAUUGUACUUUGUUAUGUAAUAAUCUUUAAAAAUAGGAUUAUCCACAUGCUUGCCACUUAUUAACCGUUUAGAACCAAUAGCUUUUUGCAUGCCUUAUUUAACAGAAUGGACGGUAUUUUAUGUGUAUAAAAAACAGUAUAUAUAAAGGUUUUGCGUCGUACCAGCAUAUUGACCACUUUAUACACGAAAUUAUACGGUGCCCAAACUAAUGAUGGGGCUGUCCGUGGUCAUCGUCUAGACAUAUUCAAUCGAUUGAACAAGCGUGUCAUUUGAAAAUCUUAUUUACCGAACAGGUUUAACCGAAACUGUCAAAAAAAAAACAAAUUUUGUAUAUUCAUUAGUAUAAUAUAAAAAAAUCAAUCAACAAACCAACCAAUUAGCAAAACAGAAACCUCUUUGCCCACUUUCUUUUUUCUUAAGCUAAUUAGAGGAUUUUGCGAUUCAUCGCUUCAUUAAUCCAUGCGAUUGCCUUAAUCCAAGAUAAACCGCAAAAUAAUCUACCGAUUAAUCUGUUUAUAAUUAAGAAUUAACCAUGCACGGUUUAUGCAGCUAGAAAGAAUAAUACCGCAAAACGCCGACGAUAACCCAGCUAAUAACGACGUACGUCUUCAAAAACAUUUGCUUCUUUUAUAUAUACUUUUUAUUCUUUCUUCUCAAAAUGCACGACCCCUUUCCUCACUCUCUCUUCCCCACCCUCUCCGCUUUAGUUUUUGGUUUGAAAAUUCUAUUUUAUUACUCCUUUUCUUACACUUUCUAAUGCAUUAAUAUUUUAGUAAGAAGAACAAAAUUCUAUAAUCGCCUGUUCUUUCUUUAUUUAUUUAUUUACUCUCUCUCUCUCUAUUUUUUUUUCAUCUUUUCUUCUAACUUAAAUGAAUUUUAUCCAUUUCUGAGAAAUUAAAGAGGAUGUUGAUUGUAUAAAUUUGUUUCUUUUCUCUUUGUAUAUGAUUUAUAUUGUAUAUAUAAAAUGAUAUUUGCAAAUGAUUCCUCUUUAAUCUACUUUCUCUUGUGUAUGUGCACGAAACAUCCGCUUUAUUCUCCCACCCCCCCUCUCCCCUCCUCUCUCGCUCUGUAUCAGCCUGUCUAUGUAUCUCUCUCUCUCUCUCACACACACAUAUACACACACACAGAUAUAUAUAUAUAUAUAUAUAUAUAUAUAUAUAAGUGUGUGUGUGUUUGUUCUCUAGCUAUUCUUCUUUUCUCUUUUUAUUUUAUUUAUAUUUUUUAAAUUUUCUCCUUCUAUUCUAUUCGUGUUCGGGCUUGUUAGAGCAUUGAUGGCAUUUUUGUGGUCAACCAAUGGCCGAUUGUGUUGUUUCGCUAACGUUGCAUGUGGUCUCCGACAUAUAUAUUUAUGUCUGUUUAUAGAAGAUCCUUAUUUGCAUGAUCUAGUUUAAUUUUUCUUACAUUUUUCAAAUUUCAAAGCGAAAGCAUGCUGGGAAUGUCGGACGCUGGUCAACCGCCCUGCUAUUGUUAAAUAUCCAGGGCUGUUGUAUAAUUAGAUUGAGGCGUCCAGGCUUUUUCUACAAUUUACUGUUGUUAUUUUCUUUGAUUUGUAGCCCACUGACUUUUCCUCAGUGCACGAUUUAUUUUUUUUUGAGCUAAGAAACUAUUGCUUGUGCUAUCUUCCUUAACUUUUCGUGUGUGCUGCCAUCUAUCCAACGUUCGUUCAUUGUCUCAUCAUUUUUGUCUUCUUUCCGAUUAAAGGAACAAGAGACAAGUGUGCAAGAUACAACUCUAACCUAUCACUUCUUUGGGUCUAGAGGCAGAGACACGCUCAAGUACGAAGAGUUCUCAAAGUUUAUGGAAAAUCUGCAAACGGAAGUACUGCAAUCCGAGUUUGAAGACUACGCCAGAGGAAAGUCAACCAUUACAGAGGAAAAUUUUGCAAAGAUUCUCCUCCGCUAUACAGUCUUAUCGGAGGAACAACAUGACGAAUAUCUAAAUAGAUUACGUAAACGUAUAACUAGUGGCAAGGGAAUCGACUUUAAGGCAUUCAAAGAUUUCUGUCAAUUUUUGAAUAAUCUGGACGAUUUUGCAAUUGCAAUGAGAAUAUAUACGUAUAGUGAACAGCCGAUUUCCGAGAGUGAGUUUAGAAGAGCAGUUAAAAUAUCGACUGGACACGAAUUGGACUUUCACGUUGUUCAUACAGUGUUUCAACUAUUUGAUGUAGAUGGCGACAAUCAAUUGAGCCAUAAUGAGUUUAUAACUGUUAUGAAAGAUCGCGUCCAUAGAGGGUUUAGAUCACAAAUCUUCCAAAAGAAGAGAUUCUGGGAAAACUUUAAGGGCUGUGUCCGCCGAGAAAUGAAACACUCCUAAAAGGGAAAAAUUUAAUUAUAAACAGUAUAACAUCUUAGAGUGUCUUUUUCUAUUAUCUUUGCAAUGUGUUUUCAAGAUUCUUCUUUAUUCUUCCCUAUCGCUCUCUCUCUCUCUCUCUCUCUCUC